Long non-coding RNA from Manis javanica (Malayan pangolin), 2104 nucleotides. RefSeq lists it as uncharacterized. The record is from RefSeq and is a predicted model, not a curated record. NCBI's taxonomy places the organism in Eukaryota, Metazoa, Chordata, Mammalia, Pholidota, Manidae.
GCAGCCUUGGUGAGGAAGAGCCGGGAGAGCGCGGGAGAGGAGCUUAAAGGAGCCAGGGAAAGUGGUAGAAACGGGAAAGGGAAGGCGAUACGACCGUCGGAGCUGAGAAAAGGAAGCCGUGGGGAAGAAAGACCACAAGAUGAUGUCUGCCUCCUGACUGGUGUAGGAGAAGGUCUUACCUUCUGAAUCACCCACUGCACGAGGCCCAGAUAGUAGAGAAUGGACAUGACACAGCCAAAGAAAAGGAUGAUUGUUCUAUAAACUCUCUGAAGUCAGGAAGAAUGAAGUGAUUUACCCAGAGUCAACAGCAAGUUAAUGGACUAUUUUGCUCACCUCUUAUACUUCAGCACUACUCCAUGACUGAAAUGCAUUUCAUGCAUUUUCUCCUUUAAUCCUGACCAGGCACCUUGGAGGAAGGAUAUCGAAAGCGGAUUGUGACUGAAGAAAGAGAAAGAAUGACCGUCGUAAAGUCAAGAGAAAUGACUGAUAAGACUUCGGGAAAAGUAAGACUGAUAGGAUGGUAAGGAUCUUCGUUUGUACAAGAGGAAGUCACAGAGCAUUAGGUGAAAGCAUUAUGCUGUUGCUAUGGUUUUUUGGAAAUUAACUGUGGGUAAAAUGGAUGCUGAGUACCUGAAACAAUGAGCUGCACCAGACUCUCUAUUGGCAGCUCAGCAUCAUUCCGUGUUCCCCCAAAAAGGUUAGGAAGUCUAUAAAACAUUUAGAAUCCUUUGACAACCAUUUUCCAUAUUAGAUUCCACAGAUGAGCAGUACUUGUGUGAAAUUUGGAGAACAAGAGACAGGCACUAACCCGCUCAAAAUUUAUUCCAGUGUCUGCUGAGUUCCAAAGCCACUUUCACAUUUUGUUUUUGUAAUAGCAGCGUCAUACUUCUGAUAACAAAAUCUGUAUCAUUUAUCACAGUGUAAAAAAUUACCUGAAAACUUAGUAGCUUAAGACAACAAUUAUUAUCUCACAAUUUCUUAACUCAAUAAUUUGGAAGUGACUUAACUGAGGGUCUUUGGUUCAGAGUUUCUCAUGGAAUUUCAGUCAAGAUGUCAGCUGGGGCUGUAGUCAUCUGAAGGAGGCUACAGGAUCCGCUUCCAAGAAGGCUCCCUUACAUAGCUAUUGGCUCAUCACCCUGACGAUGACUGACAGGAGGCUUCAAUUCCCCACAUCAUGGGUCACUCCGUGCGCUUCUUUGACUGUCCUCAUGACAUGGCAGCUGGCUUUCUCUGGAUCUAGUGAUCCAAGAAAGAGAACAGAGGAAGUCGCAAUGCACUUUAUGACCUCCUAUCAGAAGUAACCCACCAUCACUUCUACUAUAUCCUUUUCAUUUGAAGAAGUCAGGAAGUCUGCCCUCACUCCAGGAAGGGGUACCAAAGAAUUUGGGAAUGUGUUUUAAAACCACCGCAAGUUCUUAUAGGGUAUUUGAUCUAAAGAAAAUUAAGGGGAAAAGUUUUUAGCCUCUAAUGAUAUGGUAACAAAGGAAGUCAUCUAGAUUCAAGAUGAGGCCAGGAAACCAAAGAGGAGUCAUGACAGAAAUAUUUUGACUCAAAAAUUUAAGAGAAAGUUGAAAAUAAUAAAAAAGUGAAGUCAAUUUGUUGCAAUUUUUACAUGAGUCUCUCGCCUUUUAACUUAAAAUUACAUUUGAAAUUUGCGUACUAUGUUAUCAUGUCAGAUUCUCAAUGCUAACCAUGACAUUAGGGCAACAUGGAUAAAUUUCUUUUCAUACUUUUUUGACUACCACGACUCUAGAAAAUACCAUUAAUAUUAGAGCUUCCUCUCAAGCCCCACAUACAUUUCCUUCAUCCAACCUGUCCAUCCACUCUACCUCUGAGGUAAAGAGGAAACAACUAUGGGUGUGAUAUGAGGGAAGAGUCCACUUCCAACAUCAGGUUAGUCCCCACACCUUAACCUCACCAACCAGACCAGGGGGCUAAAUUUUCCUACAAACCCAGGGGCAUUUCUUCUCAGACUGAUGCUUUGUUCUCUGGGCUCUGUAGUAAGCAUUGUAACUUUAGAUUUUAAAUUCCAAAAAUAAUUUUGGAGAUCAACAUAGGAUUGCCAGUUUGUAAUUUUUCCAAAUAAAGAUGUUUUUAAAAAUGA